This 1388-nucleotide long non-coding RNA is filed under the name Brassica rapa (field mustard). RNAcentral describes it as "long non-coding RNA (BRAP_LNC003075)". Lineage: Eukaryota; Viridiplantae; Streptophyta; Magnoliopsida; Brassicales; Brassicaceae. The record is from RNAcentral.
UCAGAUCGAACCCUCUUGAAAUCCAACAGCGUCGAGAACAUGGCGAUGAACAGCACGAGAUGGUUCAAUGCGUAACGCUGACCCACACACUGGUGAGGACCCCAUCCGAACGCUAGGAAAUUGCGUUUAAACACCUGAUCUUCUUUCCUGGUCUGGCUAAACCGAUCCGGAUCGAACCGGUCCGGUUCAGUAAACCCUUGGAACGAGGAGUCGAAAAUCGAUGGAAAGACAAUUGUACCUUUUGGGAUAGUGUACGAGGUGGUAAUAGAGCCGUGCUUAGAGGCUUUUGAAAAAGACAUUUGCCUAAAGCCUCUAAAUUUUGUAAAAAUUUUAAGACUUUAUAAAUUAAAAAAAAGGAUACUUUUACAUGAUAGUUAGCAUAGGGUCCGAUUGGUAAUGGCUGUAGCUUUAAAUAUUUUGCUGUAGAAAAAAAUCUGUAGACUUUUUGCUGUGGCUUUAGAUUUUAUUGCUGUAGAAUUUUAUUGAAGCACUAAAAAAUUGCUUUGGAUAUUUGGCUCUGCAGAGCACUUGUACAGCUGUAGGAUAUUUUAAGAGCUGUGGUUUCAAAAAAAAAAUUAAAGCUUGAUUGCUCUGAAUUUGGUGCUGUGGAAAUAAAUAGGGCUGUGGACAGCACCUACAGCAACUACCAAUCACCCCCAUAUUCUCUUAGUUAGAUUUUUAUUUUUAUUUAAAUUUAAAUUAGACUUUUGUUUAAAGUAACUAGGUUUGUGAUCAUAUUUGCUAUAUUUUAAAUAAAACUAUAAAGAUUAUACUUCUAAAAAAUUGUAAAUAUUUGAUCACAUUGGUCUUUUUUUUAUAUAGUAUGAGUUAGAAUUAUUUUAUAUAUUUAUGAGAAUUUGAUAAAGAAAAUAUAAUAUUUUCAAUAUAUAGUUUAUUUAAAUGUUAAGAUUUACAUUUUUGACAGCUACCAACAUUUUAAUCAAAAAUUUAUAUCAUUGUAUUUAUAUUUCAAAUUUAUACUUUUUGUUCAUGAUUUAAAAAUUUUAUUUUAUAAAAUUUUGGUGAAGAAAAUUUAGAAAACGUUUAUGUAAUAAUUCAAAACUUUUGAGUGUUUACGUAAUUACUUGGUGACUUAAUAGUUUUCUAUAACCCUUCGAUUACACAACCAUAUAUUUUAUAAAUAAUUGCAAAACGUUCUGUUAUUCUUUUGACUAUCUGGCUUCAGGGUUGAAGUAUCUAAAGCACAUCACAACUUCUUCUUUUUUUUGUUUAUAACCCAGGAUAUCCGGCGGGCCAAGGUCUACCCGAAUAGUCUUCUGGGAGCUUGUCUACUGGAGCUAAACAAACCCGAUUGUUUUCAAUUAAAAUUAGAUAUUCAUGUCGACUAACCACACAAACAGAUAAAUAUGAGUUUCGUAGGUUUGUAG